UUGAUUUUUGUUUAAUCUUUGGUUAGUUGUAAUUAAAUUCAAUUAAUACUUGUAAUUUUGUCAUUAUUCGUGAUGUGAGUUUUUAAUUUUACAUGAAGUAUAUAAUCAAUUCUACCUCUAUAUCUAUUUAUCAUAUUAUGUUAAAGUUAUUAGCAAUUGUUUUCUUCCAGUCAUUUUUUCUCCAAAAUUUAAUUUUUGUUUCUUGUUAGAAUUGUGGGGUUUAUUUUCUCAAAUGGUUUAAAUCACUCAGGUACUUUUUUUAUUUUUUUUUAUAAAUAUGUGAGAUUAAUUUUUCUUUUUGUUUCCAAUUAAAUUUACUAGUAUUACAUUAUAAAAUCAGGUAUAACUAUUCUUUCUUGUUUUUGUGCUAAUAAGGUUGAUUUUGUGAUAGAAAUAUUGAGAAUAUUAGGUGUCCAAGUUAACAGGUGUUUGAAAAUUUCAAAGCUAAAACUGGACGAGGAGUUAGAUAGACACCUCUAUGAAUGUUAAUUAAAAUUAAACUAAACACUGCACAUAUUUCAGGACAUGGUGUUUCGUGGGGUGCUACUAUGAAUUAUUAUAUAUACUUUUUGAUUACAUAUUGAUCAACACAUUUUAUCUUCUUAUUAAAAUUUCAGCUCUUGUCAUAUUUAGAAUGUGUAUACUCUCACACUGUUUUUUUUUUAUUCUUUUUAGAAUGGUGGGUGUUGUAUACAUUGUUGUCACACACUACUACUCUGUGGGCUUUGGUUGGAUCAAUUUUGUUUGUUUCAUAGUAGUGGAACUAUACUAUACUUAACUCAAUAUAAUUGGAUAAAUUUGUUAUCUUAAUUAGCACUUAUUACCUUUAUCCUACGUACCAAGUGUGGCUAACUACUUUUUGCAUUGUAAUAAGUUAAUGUCUUAAAAGCAUUCCAAUGGAUAUUAAACUUGACGUUAGUCAACUAUUAUGUUUUGUUAGUUCUAAAAGCAUGUUUAAUCAUAUACUUUCUUUUGCAUUUAUAGGCAUUUCAUGCUCAAAAUGUGGAAAAUGUUGCUGAUAUAAAGGAGCAAUCAAAGGAAUCUGGUAACAAGCCACUCCCAAUAACAUGGGGAUUUUAUCUCUUUUAUUUAUGCUGCUGGCUCCUUGAUUUUCUUGCAGAUUGAGAACCCGGGGAAUACCAGAGCCAUAGUUUUGUCACAUCUAGAGAUAUUUACGUUUUAGGUUUAUUUCAAGAGAACGAUGACAGGAAUUGGACUGGAAAACAAUUCAUACACGAGAAAAUGGAAACUUGCUUGUUGAUAGGAAAAACUCUCAAUAAUGAAGUCGGGUGUAUUUGGUUCACUUACGAUGGAUUCUCAAAUUAUUAGUGAUGAUUAAGUUUAUGUUGAACCUUAGAAAUCUAGAAUAAUGAGUUUCUUGGGAAACAAAGGUGAUGUCUUAAUACGUAUGUCAAUAGAUAUACAUUAUAAACUUCUAAAUUCUGACUGUUUCAUUCAUCGAUUUCUCAAGGCAUAAAUUGAAUACCAGUUCUAGUCGUUGCUGAUUGACCUUGCUGCUGCAAUUUAUGCUUGCUCGACGCUGCUACCGCUGCAAUGUAUGCUUGCUCAACGACGCUACUACUGCAAUCUAUGCUUGCUCUGUCCACUGUUGUUGUUGUUGCUGCUGCUAUUUGUGCUUGACAUUGUUGUAUUAGCUAUUUGUGCUUGAUGUUGUUUUAUUGUAUUAUUUGUAAAUACACUCAUAACCUUGAAUUGUACCAUUGUAAAUUUUAAUUUAUUUUGGGUGAAUAUAAUAUUUACCAGCAUUUAUAAAUGAAA
Long non-coding RNA from Chenopodium quinoa (quinoa), 1779 nucleotides. RefSeq lists it as uncharacterized. The transcript has 3 exons. Lineage: Eukaryota; Viridiplantae; Streptophyta; Magnoliopsida; Caryophyllales; Amaranthaceae. The record is from RefSeq and is a predicted model, not a curated record.